CGACGAACUCCCAGCCACUCCGAGGAAGAGGGGGGGGGAGGAGAGUUCAAGUGACGUAAGCGUCAGUCUUUUUUUUAAAAAAAGCACUGUAGUGAGAACGCAGCAUAGAGGUUCCUAUACCUUUAAAAAUGACAUGACAGAAGAAGAGGGUUUCUUACAGAGAGGGUUCCAAUUGGACUCGUGGUUCAGCUACAAAUCUUAUAAGAGUUACAUUUUCGUUAUUGAAAAUAUUUAUCUGACUGGCUUAUCGUAAGAAAACUACUGUUUAAAAAAAAUCGGAAAGAUGAGUGAAUGUUAAAACCAGCAAAAGCUUUCAGUACUUAGACUCCUAACAUGGAGGACUCGGGCCCUGUCAUUUGAGAACCUGAGCUCUUUAUAGAAAAUCACUCUCAGUAUAACUCUUAGGUUCGGUCCACUUGAGAUUCUGUCCGGCCGGAGAGGGGAAGGGGGCCACGCGGGCGCGGGAUGGUGGUCAAGAUUUUUCCUUUGGAGUUGAAAAGAAUCUUCCCAUCUGGUAAUUCUGGAAGUUCCGGCUCUGGAAGUUCUGCUUGCGAGCACGUGGGGAAGGUCACGUGAUUGAAUUUGCUGUGGUCAGUUGGUUUACAGAAAACUUACUCAGCAUUCCAAUUAUCGUGUUUUUUACCGUGACCGUAUUUUCUUGGGGAAAAAAAAUAAAGCACGGUCUGAGAAAAGGGGAAAUCUGAAAGAGGUUCAUGAAGAUAAAAAAAAAAUGUAGUGGUUUAUAAUUUUGUUUUAGAAAGGGAAGCUCAAGAGCAAAAGCAAGACAAUUAAAAAAAAAAUAAAAAUAAAUCUGAAGAAUGGUUUUCUGAAAUAAAGGGCUGUCCAAUAAAAGGCAUUUAUAAUAAAAGAUAUAUAGUCAUUAUGUUUGCCAAACAAAAUUUAGACUUAUUCUGAGUGGAUUUCGGAGAGUUUAGAGCCAGAGACUGUAGAUACAGAUAUAGACCAUAUAUCUGGAUAUAUCUAGAUGGAUAGAUAGAUAGAUUUGUAUAAAUAUAAUAUUCAAGUUAUACGUAAAUAUGAAAUAAGUAUUAUAAAUCAGUUCAUAAUACAGACUUAACUAUACAAAAAAUAUUCUCUGGAGAGGCAUUCCACAACUGGAACAUCAAAACAAGCAAUUGCAUGUCUCAUAUAGAUAGUCCUCAAUUUAUGACUGCUUGCUUAAUGACUGUUAGAAGAGGGCUUAUGAACUGGAUCUGAAAUUCCAAAUGUUGGGUUCUCCCCACAUUCAUGUGACUGCACUUUGGGUGCUUGACAACACAGCUGCAUUUAUGCCAUCUGCAUAAUCACGUGGCCACAUUGUACAACACUUUUGCCAAAAUGAUCACCACAAAAACUGGAAAAUGGUUCUAUGACAAUUACAACUGUAAAUGGCCACAAUUUAUUUCAGUCAUAACUCAAGGACUCUGUAACUCAAGGACUCUGUAAUGUACCAGUGAUAUUUGAAGAACCCAGUUAAUCUUCAGAUGAAAGAUCUUCAGACUGGAACAAGAAUCUUGCUACCAAAUUAAAUAUUUAAAGAAAACCACCAUGCACUGGUCUUGGAAGCAAAGAGAUGGCCAGGGCAGCUGUUUUACAACAUAAUGUAAUAUAAUUUUAUCUGGUUGUAUCUGUUACAAUUUUAGCUGCAACAUUCUACACUUUUUGGUAUUGUCUUCAUGUGCUGUCCAUGAAGCUUGCAUUAUAUAGCAAAGAAGAAAAGGAGAAAAAUAGAAUAAGUGCUAUUCUUUGUUUAGUCUCACAAGUUGAUAUUUUUAUAUAUCAUUAUGAAAACAAAUAUAAAAAACAUAAGCAGAAAAAAUGACCACUAUUAUUACAGUGUCAUCUGAUGGUUUGAUCCUGGCUUUUGAGUAUCAUCUAAAGUUAAUGCACUGAAAGUUAAUGCACUCUUACAAUACUUUUGGAGCAUAUCUGUUCUUAUUUCAAUGUACUGUAUCAUGGACUCUCAGCCUUUUCGCAAUUAAAGAUGCAUUUACUAGAA
Long non-coding RNA from Crotalus tigris (Tiger rattlesnake), 1999 nucleotides. RefSeq lists it as uncharacterized. NCBI's taxonomy places the organism in Eukaryota, Metazoa, Chordata, Lepidosauria, Squamata, Viperidae. The transcript has 2 exons. The record is from RefSeq and is a predicted model, not a curated record.